This 329-nucleotide unclassified non-coding RNA is filed under the name soil metagenome. RNAcentral's name for it is "partial contains 5.8S ribosomal RNA, internal transcribed spacer 2, and large subunit ribosomal RNA". The stretch from base 1 to 120 matches the Rfam family "5.8S ribosomal RNA", at positions 35 to 154 of the family's 154-position model. The record is from RNAcentral.
GAUGAAGAACGUAGCGAAAUGCGAUAAGUAAUGUGAAUUGCAGAAUUCAGUGAAUCAUCGAAUCUUUGAACGCACAUUGCGCCCCCUGGUAUUCCGGGGGGCAUGCCUGUUCGAGCGUCAUUACAACCCUCAAGCUCUGCUUGGUAUUGGGCCCCGCCAGUUCUGGCGGGCCCUAAAGUCAGUGGCGGUGCCUUCCGGCUCCGAGCGUAGUAAUUCUUCUCGCUCUGGAGACCCGGUUGUGUGCUUGCCAACAACCCCCAAUUUUUUACGGUUGACCUCGGAUCAGGUAGGGAUACCCGCUGAACUUAAGCAUAUCAAUAAGCGGAGGA